RNAcentral lists this ribosomal RNA (478 nucleotides) under uncultured bacterium. Its description in RNAcentral is "partial 16S ribosomal RNA". It matches the Rfam family "Bacterial small subunit ribosomal RNA", at positions 28 to 507 of the family's 1533-position model. The record is from RNAcentral.
GAUGAACGCUGGCGGCGUGCUUAACACAUGCAAGUCGAACGGGAAACCUUUUAUUGAAGCUUCUGCAGUUUUAGCUGGUUUCUAGUGGCGUACGGGUGAGUAACGCGUGGGUAACCUGCCUUAUACAGGUGGAUAACAACCCGAAAUGGUUGCUAAUACCGCAUAAGCGCACAGGACCGCAUGGUCCGGUGUGAAAAACUCCGGUGGUAUAAGAUGGACCCGCGUUGGAUUAGCUAGUUGGCAGGGUAACGGCCUACCAAGGCGACGAUCCAUAGCCGGCAUGAGAGGGUGAGCGGAGACAUUGAGACUGAGACACGGCCCAGACUCCUGCGGGAGGCAGCAGUGGGGAAUAUUGCACAAUGGGGGAAAUGCUGAUGCAGCGACGCCGCGUGAAGGAAGAAGUAUCUCGGUAUGUAAACUUCUAUCAGCAGGGAAGAUAGUGACGGUACCUGAAGAAGAAGCCCCGGCUAACUACGUG